UCAGAUUGAACGCUGGCGGCGUGCUUAACACAUGCAAGUCGAACGCGAAAGGGACUUCGGUCCUGAGUAAAGUGGCGCACGGGUGAGUAACGCGUGGAUAAUCUGCCCUUAUGAUCGGGAUAACAGUUGGAAACGGCUGCUAAUACCGGAUACGCUCAAAAUGAACUUUUUGAGGAAAGAUGGCCUCUGCUUGCAUGCUAUCACGUAAGGAUGAGUCCGCGUCCCAUUAGCUUGUUGGCGGGGUAACGGCCCACCAAGGCAACGAUGGGUAGCCGAUUUGAGAGGAUGAUCGGCCACACUGGAACUGAAACACGGUCCAGACUCCUACGGGAGGCAGCAGUGGGGAAUAUUGCGCAAUGGGCGAAAGCCUGACGCAGCGACGCCGCGUGAGGGAUUGAAGGUUUUCGGAUCGUAAACCUCUGUCAGAAGGGAAGAAACUACGUUGUGCUAAUCAGCAGCGUACUGACGGUACCUUCAAAGGAAGCACCGGCUAACUCCGUGCCAGCCGCUGC
RNAcentral lists this ribosomal RNA (512 nucleotides) under uncultured bacterium. RNAcentral's name for it is "bacterial SSU rRNA". It matches the Rfam family "Bacterial small subunit ribosomal RNA", at positions 24 to 518 of the family's 1533-position model. The record is from RNAcentral.